Molecule: unclassified non-coding RNA, 194 nt
Filed under: plant metagenome
Description: partial contains small subunit ribosomal RNA, internal transcribed spacer 1, and 5.8S ribosomal RNA
Source: RNAcentral
UUUCCGUAGGUGAACCUGCGGAAGGAUCAUUACAGAGUUCAUGCCCGAAAGGGUAGACCUCCCACCCUUGUGUAUUAUUACUUUGUUGCUUUGGCGAGCGCAAGCUCUCCAGAGAAUACCAAAACUCUUUUUAUUAAUGUCGUCUGAGUACUAUAUAAUAGUUAAAACUUUCAACAACGGAUCUCUUGGUUCUG